AAUAGAUACCCAGGUAGUCCACGCCGUAAACGGUGGGCACUAGGUGUGGGCAGCAUUCCACGUUGUCCGUGCCGUAGCUAACGCAUUAAGUGCCCCGCCUGGGGAGUACGGCCGCAAGGCUAAAACUCAAAGGAAUUGACGGGGGGCCCGGCACAAGCGGCGGAGCAUGUGGCUUAAUUCGACGCAACGCGAAGAACCUUACCAAGGCUUGACAUACACCGGAAACAUCCAGAGAUGGGUGCCCCCUUGUGGUCGGUGUACAGGUGGUGCAUGGCUGUCGUCAGCUCGUGUCGUGAGAUGUUGGGUUAAGUCCCGCAACGAGCGCAACCCUUGUCCCGUGUUGCCAGCAGGCCCUUGUGGUGCUGGGGACUCACGGGAGACCGCCGGGGUCAACUCGGAGGAAGGUGGGGACGACGUCAAGUCAUCAUGCCCCUUAUGUCUUGGGCUGCACACGUGCUACAAUGGCCGGUACAAAGNGCUGCGAUACCGUGAGGUGGAGCGAAUCUCAAAAAGGCCGGUCUCAGUUCGGAUUGGGGU
RNAcentral lists this ribosomal RNA (537 nucleotides) under uncultured bacterium. RNAcentral's name for it is "bacterial SSU rRNA". It matches the Rfam family "Bacterial small subunit ribosomal RNA", at positions 777 to 1304 of the family's 1533-position model. The record is from RNAcentral.